GAUGAACGCUGGCGGCGUGCCUAAUACAUGCAAGUCGAGCGAACAGACGAUGAGCUUGCUCCUCUGACUUUAGCGGCGGACGUGUGAGUAACACGUGGAUAACCUACCUAUAAGACUGGGAUAACUUCGGGAAACCGGAGCUAAUACCUGAUAAUAUAUGGAACCGCAUGGUUCAAUAGUGUAAUACGGUUUUGCUGUCACUUAUAGAUGGAUCCGCGCCGGAUUAGCUAGUUGGUAAGGUAACGGCUUACCAAGGCAACGAUGCGUAGCCGACCUGAGAGGGUGAUCAGCCACACCGGAACUGAGACACGGUCCAGACUCCUACGGGAGGCAGCAGUAGGGAAUAUUCCGCAAUGGGCGAAAGCCUGACGGAGCAAUGCCGCGUGAGUGAUGAAGGCCUUCGGAUCGUAAAACUCUGUUAUCAGGGAAGAAAAAAUGUGUAAGUAAAUAUGCACGUCUUGACGGUACCUAAAGAGAAAGCCCCGGCUAACUCCGUG
RNAcentral lists this ribosomal RNA (497 nucleotides) under uncultured bacterium. RNAcentral's name for it is "partial 16S ribosomal RNA". It matches the Rfam family "Bacterial small subunit ribosomal RNA", at positions 28 to 507 of the family's 1533-position model. The record is from RNAcentral.